This 473-nucleotide ribosomal RNA is filed under the name uncultured bacterium. Its description in RNAcentral is "bacterial SSU rRNA". It matches the Rfam family "Bacterial small subunit ribosomal RNA", at positions 328 to 793 of the family's 1533-position model. The record is from RNAcentral.
GCAGAGCACUCCACGGGAGGCAGCAGUGGGGAAUAUUGCACAAUGGGGCGCAAGCCUGAUGCAGCCAUGCCGCGUGUAUGAAGAAGGCCUUCGGGUUGUAAAGUACUUUCAGCAGUGAGGAAGGUGGGUAUGUUAAUAGCAUACUCAUUUGACGUUAGCUGCAGAAGAAGCACCGGCUAACUCCGUGCCAGCAGCCGCGGUAAUACGGAGGGUGCGAGCGUUAAUCGGAAUUACUGGGCGUAAAAGCGCAUGCAGGUGGUUUGUUAAGUCAGAUGUGAAAGCCCGGGGCUCAACCUCGGAAUUGCAUUUGAAACUGGCAAACUAGAGUACUGUAGAGGGGGUAGAAUUUCAGGUGUAGCGGUGAAAUGCGUAGAGAUCUGAAGGAAUACCGGUGGCGAAGGCGGCCCCCUGGACAGAUACUGACACUCAGAUGCGAAAGCGUGGGGAGCAAACAGGAUUAGAUACCCUGGUAG